CCUACGGGAGGCAGCAGUGGGGAAUAUUGGGCAAUGGACGCAACCCUGACCCAGCAACGCCGCGUGAAUGAUGAAGGUCUUCGGAUCGUAAAGUUCUGUGAUGGGGGAUGAACACAAUGACGGUACCCCAAUAGCAAGCCACGGCUAACUACGUGCCAGCAGCCGCGGUAAUACGUAGGUGGCAAGCGUUAUCCGGAAUGACUGGGCGUAAAGGGUGCGUAGGUGGGUUAGUAAGUUGGCGGUGUAAUUCCGGGGCUCAACCUCGGCGCUACCGCCGAAACUAUUAGACUAGAGUGCAGGAGAGGAAAGUGGAAUUCCUAGUGUAGCGGUGGAAUGCGUAGAUAUUAGGAGGAACAUCAGGGGCGAAGGCGACUUACUGGACUGUAACUGACACUGAGGCACGAAAGCGUGGGGAGCAAACAGGAUUAGAUACCCUGGUAGUC
RNAcentral lists this ribosomal RNA (443 nucleotides) under uncultured bacterium. RNAcentral's name for it is "partial 16S ribosomal RNA". It matches the Rfam family "Bacterial small subunit ribosomal RNA", at positions 338 to 795 of the family's 1533-position model. The record is from RNAcentral.